RNAcentral lists this ribosomal RNA (780 nucleotides) under uncultured archaeon. RNAcentral's name for it is "bacterial SSU rRNA". It matches the Rfam family "Archaeal small subunit ribosomal RNA", at positions 515 to 1296 of the family's 1478-position model. The record is from RNAcentral.
GCGUUCGUAGCCGGUUCUGUAAAUCUUCAGAUAAAUUCAUUCGCUCAACGGAUGAUCUUCUGAAGAGACUGUAGAACUUGGGACCGGGUGAGGUUGAAUGUACUUCCGGGGUAGGGGUAAAAUCCUGUAAUCCUGGAAGGACAACCGGUGGCGAAGGCGUUCAACUAGAACGGAUCCGACGGUGAGGAACGAGGGCUAGGGGAGCAAACCGGAUUAGAUACCCGGGUAGUCCUAGCUGUAAACACUGCCCACUUGGUGUUGCCUCUCUGUUGAAGGGGGGCAGUGCCGGAGGCGAAGGUGUUAAGUGGGCCGCUUGGGGAGUAUGGUCGCAAGGCUGAAACUUAAAGGAAUUGGCGGGGGAGCACCGCAACGGGAGGAGCGUGCGGUUUAAUUGGAUUCAACGCCGGAAAACUCACCGGGAGCGACCUUUGGAUGAGAGUCAACCUGAUGAGUUUACUCGAUAGAAGGAGAGGUGGUGCAUGGCCGUCGUCAGCUCGUACCGUAGGGCGUUCACUUAAGUGUGAUAACGAGCGAGACCCCCAUCUCUAAUUGCAAGUAUGUCUUUGCGGACAUGCGCACUUUAGAGGGACCGCCAGCGCUAAGCUGGAGGAAGGAGGGGUCGACGGCAGGUCAGUACGCCCCGAAUCUCCCGGGCUACACGCGCGCUACAAAGGACAGGACAAUGAGUUGCAACCUCGAAAGGGGGAGCUAACCUCGAAACCUGUUCGUAGUUAGGAUUGAGGGCUGUAACUCGCCCUCAUGAAUGUGGAUUCCGUAGUA